UACGUAGGGUGCAAGCGUUGUCCGGAAUUAUUGGGCGUAAAGGGCGCGUAGGCGGCUUGACAAGUCCCGGGUGAAAUCCCUCGGCUCAACCGAGGAACUGCCUUGGAAACUGUCUGGCUUGAGGCCGGGAGAGGGUAGUGGAAUUCCCAGUGUAGCGGUGAAAUGCGUAGAUACUGGGAGGAACACCGGUGGCGAAGGCGGCUACCUGGACCGGUUCUGACGCUGAGGCGCGAAAGCGUGGGUAGCAAACAGG
RNAcentral lists this ribosomal RNA (253 nucleotides) under uncultured bacterium. RNAcentral describes it as "partial 16S ribosomal RNA". It matches the Rfam family "Bacterial small subunit ribosomal RNA", at positions 524 to 776 of the family's 1533-position model. The record is from RNAcentral.